GCCCAGGUGGUGAAAUUGGUAGACACGCCACUUUGAGGGGGUGGUGCUCGUUGGAGCGUGCAAGUUCGACUCUUGUCCUGGGCA
Molecule: transfer RNA, 84 nt
Filed under: Bacteroidales bacterium
Lineage: Bacteria; Pseudomonadati; Bacteroidota; Bacteroidia; Bacteroidales
Description: tRNA-Leu
Rfam family: tRNA
About the family: Transfer RNA (tRNA) molecules are approximately 80 nucleotides in length. Their secondary structure includes four short double-helical elements and three loops (D, anti-codon, and T loops). Further hydrogen bonds mediate the characteristic L-shaped molecular structure. tRNAs have two regions of fundamental functional importance: the anti-codon, which is responsible for specific mRNA codon recognition, and the 3' end, to which the tRNAs corresponding amino acid is attached (by aminoacyl-tRNA synthetases). tRNAs cope with the degeneracy of the genetic code in two manners: having more than one tRNA (with a specific anti-codon) for a particular amino acid; and 'wobble' base-pairing, i.e. permitting non-standard base-pairing at the 3rd anti-codon position.
Source: RNAcentral